RNAcentral lists this ribosomal RNA (241 nucleotides) under uncultured bacterium. RNAcentral's name for it is "partial 16S ribosomal RNA". It matches the Rfam family "Bacterial small subunit ribosomal RNA", at positions 333 to 566 of the family's 1533-position model. The record is from RNAcentral.
UUUAUCCUACGGGACGCAGCAGUAGGGAAUCUUCCACAAUGGGCGAAAGCCUGAUGGAGCAACGCCGCGUGGGUGAAGAAGGUCUUCGGAUCGUAAAACCCUGUUGUUAGAGAAGAAAGUGCGUGAGAGUAACUGUUCACGUUUCGACGUUAUCUAACCAGAAAGCCACGGCUAACUCCGUGCCAGCAGCCGCGGUAAUACGUAGGUGGCAAGCGUUAUCCGGAUUCAUUGGCCGUAAACG